This 254-nucleotide ribosomal RNA is filed under the name uncultured bacterium. RNAcentral describes it as "partial 16S ribosomal RNA". It matches the Rfam family "Bacterial small subunit ribosomal RNA", at positions 524 to 776 of the family's 1533-position model. The record is from RNAcentral.
CACGGAGGGUGCAAGCGUUGUCCGGAUUUAUUGGGUUUAAAGGGCGCGUAGGCGGUCGUGACAAGUCACUUGUGAAAUCUCCGGGCUUAACUCGGAACGGUCAAGUGAUACUGUCGGACUAGAGUACAGAAGGGGCAACUGGAAUUCUCGGUGUAGCGGUGAAAUGCGUAGAUAUCGAGAGGAACACCUGCGGCGAAGGCGGCUACCUGGACAAUUGCUGACGCUCAGGCACGAAAGCGUGGGGAGCAAAAGGG